RNAcentral lists this non-coding RNA (26 nucleotides) under Rattus norvegicus (Norway rat). The record is from RNAcentral. Lineage: Eukaryota; Metazoa; Chordata; Mammalia; Rodentia; Muridae.
UGCUUGUGGGUGGUCACUAAAACCUG